RNAcentral lists this ribosomal RNA (261 nucleotides) under uncultured bacterium. RNAcentral's name for it is "partial 16S ribosomal RNA". It matches the Rfam family "Bacterial small subunit ribosomal RNA", at positions 95 to 354 of the family's 1533-position model. The record is from RNAcentral.
CCGGCGCACGGGUGAGUAACACGUAUGCAACCUGCCUGCCACAGCCGGAUAAUCGGGAGAAAUUCCGUCUAAUACGGCAUAAUGCAUCGACGGGACAUCCUGUUGGUGCCAAAGGUUAAUUCCGGUGGCGGAUGGGCAUGCGUCGCAUUAGUUAGUUGGCGGUGUAACGGACCACCAAGACGACGAUGCGUAGGGGUUCUGAGAGGAAGGUCCCCCACACUGGUACUGAGACACGGUCCAAACUCCUACGGAAGGCAGCAG